GAACGAAAGUUAGGGGAUCAAAGAUGAUCAGAUACCGUCGUAGUCUUAACCGUAAACUAUGCCGACUGAGAAUGGGUACCGCUUAUACGGUAUCCGCGCUCUACGAGAAAUCAAAGUGAUCAGGUUCUGGGGGGAGUAUGGUCGCAAGGCUGAAACUUAAAGGAAUUGACGGAAGGGCACCACCAGGAGUGGAGCCUGCGGCUUAAUUUGACUCAACACGGGGAAACUCACCAGGUCCAGACACAAUAAGGAUUGACAGAUUGAUAGCUCUUUCUUGAUUUUGUGGGUGGUGGUGCAUGGCCGUUCUUAGUUGGUGGAGUGAUUUGUCUGCUUAAUUGCGAUAACGAACGAGACCUUGACCUACUAAAUAGCUCUACUUGCGAUUGCAGGUAGCUAGCUUCUUAGAGGGACUAUCUAUUACAAGUAGAUGGAAGUUCGAGGCAAUAACAGGUCUGUGAUGCCCUUAGACGUUCUGGGCCGCACGCGCGCUACACUGACGGAGCCAGCGAGUCGACCAAGCCCGAGAGGGCUAGGUAAUCUUGUGAAACUCCGUCGUGCUGGGGAUAGAGCAUUGCAAUUAUUGCUCUUCAACGAGGAAUUCCUAGUAAGCGCAAGUCAUCAGCUUGCGUUGAUUACGUCCCUGCCCUUUG
This 650-nucleotide ribosomal RNA is filed under the name Xanthomonas citri pv. citri. RNAcentral describes it as "SSU rRNA". It matches the Rfam family "Eukaryotic small subunit ribosomal RNA", at positions 981 to 1662 of the family's 1831-position model. Lineage: Bacteria; Pseudomonadati; Pseudomonadota; Gammaproteobacteria; Lysobacterales; Lysobacteraceae. The record is from RNAcentral.